Pongo pygmaeus (Bornean orangutan) is the source of this 3978-nucleotide long non-coding RNA. RefSeq lists it as uncharacterized. The record is from RefSeq and is a predicted model, not a curated record. Lineage: Eukaryota; Metazoa; Chordata; Mammalia; Primates; Hominidae. The transcript has 3 exons.
AAGGCCCCAGGGCACUGCGUUUGAGCCUGUCGGGGCUUGGUGUGGUUCCAGGUAUGGCAGGAAUGCUGGGGAUGAGCGGGCAUGUGGCUCCAGCCUGCCCUCCCCUUGCCCCAUCUUGGCACUGUGGCGGCUGGCAGCUGGGUUCCCAAUCAGGCACUGAGAGGCUAUGUGUUCCUUUGUCAUAGGGCAUGUCCACCUCUGGUGUGUGUUUAGCCCCAGGCAAAUCUUGAACUAAGUCUCAGUGUCCCGGGAAGAAGAGCACUGGACUCAGAAGUAGAAGAAAUGCGGCCGAGCAUGGUGGCUCAUGCCUGCAAUCCCAGCACUUUGGUAGGCUGAGGCGGGUGGAUCACCUGAGGUAGGAGUUCGAGACCAGCCUGACCAACAUGGUGAAAUCCUGUCUCUACGAAAAAUACUAAAAUUAGCCCGGCAUGGUGGCACAUGCCUGUAGUCCCAGCUAGUCGGGCAGCUGAGGCAGGAGAAUCGCUUGAACACAGGAGGUGGAGGUUAGAGUGAGCCGAGAUAGCACCACUGCACUCCAGCCUGGGUGACAGAGCAAGACUCUGGCUCACAAAAAACCAAACCAAAACAAAACAAAAGAUAUAGAAGAAAUGGGCCCUAGUCUCAUUCACAAGUCACCUUGGGUGAGCCGUUUCAGAGCGUGGGUUCCUCUGAUAGAAAGUUUACAUUUUCAUAUACGUCUUGUGGUUUCUGAAGGGAAGUUAAAUAAGAGAAUAUGUGUGUGAAAAUACUUUGCCUACUCAAAUAAUAAUAUCAGUGAUCAUAGAGGUUUUUGUUUUUUUUUCUCCCCAGGGCUCCGUAUUCUCCUACUAUCUGCCUACUGCCUUUCCAGAUCCUCCCUUAAAAUGCUUUGCUCAAACCUGUUACAUCUUCAAGUUUUUUCAGCUUUCUUGUCGCAGGCUCCAUUCCUAAUUCAUGCACAUAAUCUGCCAUGUGCCGACACAGGCACACACUCAUUCAACUUGUCCCAUAAUCUUUAGGGUCUUGCUCCCAGUUACUUAGCCUGAAGAGUAGCCUGACAAUAUUUUCAGAGCUACUGAUGGGUUGACGUAACCCAAGACUACCUGUGGUAGAGAAUACUGCAGACUAGGGUUUGGCCAAUUUUUUUCAGUCAGGGGCCAGGUGACUAGGACAGAGUUUUGGAGCAGAUGAGGGUUUUGAUGCCCCUUCUCUUCCGCCCUUCCAUGACUGAGUGUCUCAACCUGGAGGUGUGGAUGGGGCUGUGUAGAGGCUCCCUGAGGAACGCAGGCGGGUUUUGAGCUGUUGAUUGGCCUGAGGUGGCUUGAAGGAUGGAAAUUUACAAGUUGGCCGAGAGCCUUCUCUCUGCCAAGGACUGAUUCAGAGUUCAGGGAUUAAGCCUCUGGCAUGGGGAUUAAAUUGGGAUCUCACAUGCACAGAUCCCAUGGGCACCAGACGCUGGGCUGGAUCUGGCACACGCACUGUUGGCUCUGAGAAGCUCCUCAACCCCUUGUGGGCAUCAAAGUGAAGAAAGAAGUGAGUGGUCCCCCUUUUCUGCAUUUAGCCUUGACCUGAGAUGAGAACAUUCAUUGGAAACAACCAAGAAGCAUGAACGAAUUUCUUCCCAAGGCCAAGAGUGAUGAAAUGGCUGAGUGUUAAAUUUUCAGUAGGGAUACAGAGAAACAUGGGCACAAAACUCAGUUUCAUCCCCACGGCUCUGUUCCACUGGCUGUAUCACGCUGAUUCCUGUGGGCCUGGAAAAUGUUCCCCACUUUCCGAAGAGCUGUGUCUUUGCUCAACAUCCACAUCCCAGCAAACGGGAUCCAUUUCAAAAGAGGCUUUUGAUUACUCAUUGUCAUUUUUGAACCUCUUGUUGCUGUCAGUCAUCAGUAAACAGUGCUCUUAGAAAAGCCCUAAGUAGGAGAGGUUGAAGACGAUGCCUCUGGGCUGGCACAGCUUUUUGUUUUGCACAUGUGGAAAUUGAGACUGGGAGUGGAAGGUGAGCAGUUGAGAGUUAAACAACUAAUUCGAAGUGAAUUGAGAACUGGAGUCCAGUCCUCUGGGCUUCUGUUCCAGUGUUCAUGAGACAGAACGAAACUGCUACUCUGUAAUGAUAAGGGUCAUGGGGUUACAGGCACCAGUGGUUGAUCUGAAACUGUAUCACAGAAAGAAAAAGAAUUUGUUUUUGCUUUUUGGCCUUGAGAGGUAAAGAAGUUUUUCCCACCUCUUGUAGAUCUAACCUCAUCAAAUCAUACAAAAUCAAUUUUUGUUUACUUGCAUGGAGAUUGUCUUUUCAUACUCAUGUAUCAGUCAGCAUAGGCUGAGUUACAUUGUGGUAACAAAUGACCCCCAAAACUUAGUGAUUUUCAAACACAAAGUUGGAUUUUUCACUCCUGCUAUAUGUGUGUUGGAAGUUGCUGAGUUUCUGCUGCUUAUCUCCUUACUCCAGGACUGAGGUGGACAGAACUCUCUCAAUUUCAGGGUUGGGAAAUUGUGAGCUGUGGCAGAAUCUGGCCUGCUAUUGUUUUUGUUAAUCAAGUUUUAUCAAAAGAUAGACAUGGUUAUUUGUUUAUGUACCAUUUUCACACCACCACAACAAGAUUAAGUUGUCAUAAUAGAGGCAGUAUGGCCCCCAAUGAGGAUAAUCUUUACUUUCUGACCUUUUACAGAGCAAAUUGGCUGAUCCCUGGUGUAUCUGAAACAUGGUGAUCUGUGGCAGAAGGAAACGAGACAGAGCAAACUGCAGGCUGGUUCUCAAAACUUCUGCCCAGAAGUGACACAUGGUCGUUUCUACUCACAUUUCUUGCACUAAAGCAAGACAUGUGACAUGUGGCACCUCUUGAUGCCAACAAAAAACGGGCAGGAAAUCAGCUGAUUCCAACAUAAUUUGUAUUUUAUUUGUAUCUGUGUCUGUAUUCUUGGUUGCAAACAACAGAAAUGUACUGUGUUUAAUUUAAAGAGAAGGAAGAUUAUGUAAAGGUUACCAGGGAAUCAUGCACUUGAGAGGAAGGCUGAAGAAGGGGCCUCUGUGGGGUGCAAGGACACAGAGCCACAGUCCCACUGGAGGGACGGCCUCCAUGAGCUUGCCCUCUGGCAUUGCCAGCAGUGACCCUUCUCCACAGCACUGCUUGUAUCUCUGAAGCCACUGACACCUUCAGCAGGGAGCCUGGAAGGAUCAGAAGAAGAUGGGAGAACUUCCUUCCUGCUGGUCACUUAGGAGCCAGAAUGACCUUCGUUACCUGGACUUUUCCUUUUCUCCUCCUCAUCAUUGUUCCAUCCCCACUAAGACCUCCAUUAUUUUGGAAAUAUUAAGUUAGAAAUCUAGUCAUGGCCAGCAUGAGAGAGGGACAGGGAUGUAUACAGGAAUCAAACUGAAUACAUUUUGUGUUUUCAUUCCCCGUAGGUACUUCUGCUGGUGUCAAUCAUUGGGACUGGAUUAUAUCUAAGCAUCUUCAACCUCACAGGGAGGAGCUUGACCAGAGAAAGAGGCUGAGAGCUACUUCUCUUACCAAGGAGCUUCCCUAAGCCAGGCAUCUCCGGAGAUGGUGUGGAGCCUGGGGUAGCUUGGCCAGGCCUUUGAUCACUGGUGAUGCCAUUGCUCUUCCCCAUUUCACGUCUGCUGUGGCUUGCUGCUGAGGCUGCUUUCAGACCUCUGGAAUCAGAAAAGGAGGUGACUAUAUCAGGCAGCCCACAUUUGCGUUUUGUAAGAAUACUUUUCAUGCUCGAUUCUUUAAAAUGGUCCCCCCAAAUAUACAUCACCUUGAUCCCUAUUCCAUGUACUAUACAUGACUAAAGUUUUUGCCCUUCAUCCCCACUCUAAAGGUGAUUUAUUUUUGUUGAUGACAAAUGAGAUAUUUUGGUUUGUCAUUGUCUACUUCAUAAAAAAAAGAAUGUUAUUACUAAUAAAUUUAAAUUCACAAUUUUACUUCAUUUAAAAAAUGGCCCGUAUUCAGUAAAUCAUCAUAUUUCACUGAUGGAGGUAGCUGAGGGAUUAUCACGUCU